AUGUUUAGAGAAAGCAAAAAAGACAUAAUAACCAAGAGAAUAGAAGAAUUUCUUCAGCUGCAACUCCGUCCUUCAGGGCAGACUUCGUUAGUGGAGAAGCGCAGGGACUUUUGGAAUUGUCUGAGGAGAAGAGAUGCUGGUUUGUUGAAUCAGUUGCAAGAACGGGACAAGCAGAUCAGUGACCUGAGGCUGGAUGUAGAAAAGACUUCUGAAGAGCGCCUGGAGACUGACAGCCGGCCCAGCUCUGGGUUUUAUGAACUGAGUGACGGGGCUUCAGGAUCCCUUUCCAACUCCUCCAACUCGGUGUUCAGUGAGUGCUUAUCCAGCUGUCACUCCAGUACUUGCUUCUGCAGCCCCCUGGAGGCAGCCUUGACUAUCUCAGAUGGUUGCCCCAAAGCGGCAGAUGUGAAUCCCAAGUACCAGUGUGACCUGGUGUCUAAGAAUGGGAACGACAUCUAUCACUAUCCCAGCCCCCUGCACGAGGUGGCUGUGCAGAGCCCGAUGUUCCUCCUGUGUCUGGCGGGCACCCCUCUCAGGGAAGAGGAGCAGCUUGAGAACCCGGCCGCUGACCUUUGUGUUGGACCCGAACUAGAUGUCGCCAAAGCAGAUGGCUCCUUACCAUCGCCGAGCAGUCUGUGGCCUGCCUCCCGUCCUUCAUUCAGUAAGAAAAUGGAUGGCUACAUUUUGAGCCUGGUCCAGAAAAAGCCACAUCCUGUAAGGACCAACAAACCCAGGACCAGCGUGAGUGCAGACCCCACGAAAGGGCUUCUGAGGAAUGCGAGCGUGUGUGUCCGGGCCGCCGGGAGCAGUGGCACGCAGGUCAGCGGUGUAAACCUGAAGAAUGCGAAGCUGGUGUGUCUGCCCUCUGGCGGAAUGCCCUCUCCGGAAAGCUCGACUUUCUCCCCGCUGAAGCAGUGGUCGAAGGACCCCAAGGCAGAACUGGAAGGCAAGAGGCUGAUAGUGUCCGAGGGUUGCUUAGCAGGCGCUGCGUUGGAGCUCCCAAGCAAACACCUCCCCAGAAAUGCCAAGGCAGCCUCCCAGGAUCAGGCUUGGGGUCCUGCCGCCCCGGGGGCAGGAGAGUCCCUGAAAGAAAGCGGUCAGGCCCCGGCUGCCGCUCACAAGGAGAGCCCCGGCCAGGGCCCCGGGCCCACGCCGGAGCACAAAGCCGCGCAGCCCCCGAAGAAGAUGGCUCCCAAGAGCAGCCUGCAGCCCGCCCUGGCUCCCGGUCCUGCCCCGCUGCUGCCCGCAGCCUUUGUGGCGGAGGAGAGGCCGGCCUUGGACUUCAAAAGCGAGGGCUCUUCCUCCCAAAGCCCGGAGGACGGCCCCCUGGUGAAGGCGCAGUUCGUCCCGGGGCAGCAGCCGGCGGCCCGGCUCCCCCGCGGCCACAGGAGCGCGGGCGGCGCGCGGAGCUCCACCCUGCGGCCGCGCGGCCAGGCUCCCCCGGGGCUGGACAGUGGCCUGCCCACGGUCAGGGAGAAGGCCCGCGCCGCUGGCAAGAAGUGUCGCUUCCCCGACGACUUGGAUACAAACCGGAGACCCAAGAGGGCCUCUUGCAAGGGCCGGAAGGGAGGAGGCGGGGCCCCCGAGGCCCUGCACGCAGGCCGGCUGGUGGGCGCAGGAGGCCCCAGGGCCGGAAGCAAGGCGCACGGCCACGGACGGGAGGCCGUGGUGGCCAAACCUAAGCACAAACGAACCGAUUACCGCCGCUGGAAGUCCUCGGCCGAGAUCUCCUACGAAGAGGCCCUGUGGAGGACCCGUCGGGCGCGCCGCGAGCAGCACGUGGGCGUGUACCCCGUGCCCGUGCCGCUGCCCUACGCCAGCCCCUACGCCUACGCCGCCAGCGACUCCGAGUACUCGGCCGAGUGCGAGUCCCUCUUCCACUCCACCGUGGUGGACACGAGCGAGGACGAGCAGAGCAACUACACCACGAACUGCUUCGGCGACAGCGAGUCCAGCGUGAGCGAGGGCGAGUUCGUGGGCGAGAGCACCACCACCAGCGACUCGGAAGAGAGCGGGGGCCUGAUUUGGUCCCAGUUUGUGCAGACUCUCCCGAUGCAGACGGUCGCCGCGCCGAACCCCACAAAAACCUUCGUCAAAAUUAAGGCUUCGCACACCCUCAAGAAGAAAAUCCUACGCUUUCGGUCUGGCUCUUUAAAGCUCAUGACCACAGUUUGAGUAUCCCUGAUGUGCGGCGGCUUUCCCCUUAGCUUCUGAUGCAAGGGGGAAGAAAGUGAUGUCUUAGUUUUUGCGUAACGCUUUCACGAAAUUGCUUUUACUGAGAUAAAACCAAGGUAAAUUAUGUUUCCUCUUUAUGUAUAGACACUAGUGCCUUUAAUGGAAGGUAAAGGAUGUGUUGCUAGUUAGAAGUAAAUAUUGAGAUUGUAAUGGUAAUUGUGAAUGAGUUUUGUGCUCUCAGCUGAUUUUAAUUUUCAGAGCAUCUGGUAAGGUACAGGUUUAGACCUUUACAUUUUAGUGGGAUGAGACAUUUUGCUCCCAAGGUCAGUCAGGUGGGUGGAAUUUUUUAGGACUUUUGUCUUUUGAUUCUUCAGGGCAGAGCCUCUGCAAGGGCUUCUGGUGGCAUGGCACUGCCCGAGGCAGACUUUUUUAUGCCUUUUUAUACUACAGUCGGCAUUUGUCAUAUCUUCCCCAGUCUGUUUGCUUCUCAGAACUGUGCUGUUCACUGGACUUGGAACUUGUAGACCAGAUCCCAAAUCCAGAGGUGGCAGUCUGGACAGGGGCUCUGGUAUUACUUUCAAAGGACUCCCAAAACCUUUUGCCACACUUGGUGCCUGGGGCCUGGUUAUAGUAACUUCUUCCUGGGCCAUAUAGCCAGCAUUUUGAUGCCUUUCUAGCCUUCUCUUAAUUUGUAGCAAAUACAAUAAUUGGAGAACUUGCCUUUGGGGUAAAAUGUUGGUACGCUGGUAGAGAGAAACUCACUCUACAUCCAAUAACUUUUGGGCAUGAUUCUAAGCCUGGACUUGCCCGCCGAGCACUGUGCAACCUAAGCUUUGGCCUGAACAGUAGUGCAAUCCAGUCCAGAUUGGACCACUGACCUUAGCUGGAAGGGCUUACUUUUUUUUUUUUUUGGUGAACAGUAUUGUGUAAAAUUGUUCUUUUUAUAUC
RNA transcript from Octodon degus (degu), 3123 nucleotides. It is a transcript of the gene named dapper homolog 1 pseudogene, with no coding region annotated. The transcript is spliced from 2 exons. NCBI's taxonomy places the organism in Eukaryota, Metazoa, Chordata, Mammalia, Rodentia, Octodontidae. The record is from RefSeq and is a predicted model, not a curated record.